GGCUCAGGAUGAACGCUAGCGACAGGCCCAACACAUGCAAGUCAGGGGCAGCACAAGGAGCAAUCUGAGGUGGCGACCGGCGCACGGGUGAGUAACACGUAUGCAACCUGCCUGUAAGCGGGGAAUAACCCGUUGAAAGACGGACUAAUACCGCAUAAUACUAAAUUACUGCAUGGUAAUUUAUUUAAACAUUUAUGGCUUACAGAUGGGCAUGCGCAUGAUUAGCUAGUUGGAGAGGUAACGGCUCCCCAAGGCAACGAUCAUUAGGGGUUCUGAGAGGAAGGUCCCCCCACACUGGUACUGAGACACGGACCAGACUCCUACGGGAGGCAGCAGUGAGGAAUAUUGGUCAAUGGACGAGAGUCUGAACCAGCCAAGUCGCGUGCAGGAAGAAUUGUCCUAUGGAUUGUAAACUGCUUUUGCAGGGGAAUAAAGUGCAUCACGUGUGAUGUUUUGUAUGUACUCUGCGAAUAAGGAUCGGCUAACUCCGUGCCAGCCGCCGC
Molecule: ribosomal RNA, 503 nt
Filed under: uncultured bacterium
Lineage: Bacteria
Description: bacterial SSU rRNA
Rfam family: Bacterial small subunit ribosomal RNA
Source: RNAcentral